UACAGAGGGUGCGAGCGUUGUCCGGAAUCACUGGGCGUAAAGGGCGCGUAGGUGGCCCCUCAAGCGUGCGGUGAAAGUCAGGGGCUCAACCCCUGAUCGGCCGUGCGAACUGGGGAGCUUGAGCACUGUAGAGGCAGGCGGAAUUCCGGGUGUAGCGGUGGAAUGCGUAGAGAUCCGGAAGAACACCGGUGGCGAAGGCGGCCUGCUGGGCAGUUUGCUGACACUGAGGCG
RNAcentral lists this ribosomal RNA (231 nucleotides) under uncultured bacterium. RNAcentral's name for it is "partial 16S ribosomal RNA". It matches the Rfam family "Bacterial small subunit ribosomal RNA", at positions 524 to 753 of the family's 1533-position model. The record is from RNAcentral.